GCUCGAGGAUUCCACGAUUCGUCACCAGAGUCUAAUCUCGACCUUCCUACUUUACCGGAUCUCUUCUUUGUACUGUCUUUACCGUCCCUCUCGUCAUCAGAUGCAUCCAGCGACGGAUAAACUAAUCAAAACCAUGAAAACGAUACCUUUACGUCAUCGUAGUCAUCCGUCAAAGAUGAAUUCAACCUUCUUCUGCCUUUGCGUUGCCGCUGGGAUGCCGAAGGAUGGGGUGGUGGAUUUGAAUUUAAAAAUCCAUUCUGUUGGUGAAACAGAAGUUUUAAGACAACAACUUCAUAGCCACGGGAAUAAAUAAUAUUACCUGGUCUGAUGUCGGAGAACUAAAUCCUCGGCUCAUCGUUAACAUGCCGACGAUGGCUUCCCUAGUCGAAGGUGAAGCUCUGCCACGAUCUCUACAAACCAAAUAGCGAAAUUAAGCCGUGCGCUUUACAAAAAUAAUAAAAAAGGAAACAUACUCUAGUUCAUCUAAAGCUCCAGGUACGGCCAUGUUACUUGCACGGAGUAGUUCUUCAAUUCCACUCUUGUUAUCACCCGCUUGUUUGUCUUCACCUGUUUCUAUGUCCAUGUGGGCUGCAACUUCUGCCGUUUCAGGAAACGGAACAUCUGUUCGCCCACCAACUGCAUAAAAACAUGUUUAAAAUAUCAGCACUUGGACGAGAAUGAAUGACAGCAUAAGGUAGUGAAGAGACACGGAGUGUUGGCGGUAGAAAAGGUAUUGUUCGAGGUUCAUCCGUUCUCUCAACUUUUAUAGACAGAAGAUCCUAGGCGAACACAACCAUGUUACAGAUAAAAGAUAUCCAGAACAUCUACUUAAAGUCAUCUUACUUCUUCGGCUGCAAAGUUACUAAGCGCUUCGUUAAUGUCAACGAAAUCAGGCCGAGUCUGUGGUUUACGGCGCACUCGUUUCGGUGAAUUUUUUUCGACUUUGGCAUUAGGUACGUUAGGCAGUGAAGUCGCCAGUGAAAACGGUGAGAGGGAUGAAUUGGAAUUCUUCUCAACAUGACGAAGCUCUCGACUCAAUUCUUUUAGUAAUUUUGAUACGAUAAUAUGUUCGGGAAUCGGUUCAUUUUUUCCUUUUCCGUUCUGCUUUAUAGGAGGAGAAACAAAAAAGAUAAUGUAUAACGAUUUUGAAUACUUUUAACGCUUUUAUACGCACAUCUUUUUCUAGUGUCCAAUUCCUAAGGGCGGUAGCUAACGCUCUCACCCCACGUAUUAACUGUUCUGGACAGCGUGAGCCCUUUCUACUCAUAUCCCUUAAAUCUUCAACUAAUCUCUCCGCUGCAAACCAGUGUAUCGUUUGAAACAUAGGAAAGCGGAAUCGGAUUGGUGCCUUAGAAGCUACUUCGAUGUUGUAAACCCUGCACAAACAUCAUCCUCAUUAAACGAAGUGGAAUUUAAAAUUGAAGUAAUAGCUUACUUUAACUGUAAUUCCAUAUUUAAAUUGUGCAAGAAGUUGCCACCAAACACAAGCGAGUCUUUUGGUGUGUAUACGGCGUGAAUCCAUCCAGUUGGAAUGAACAAGGUGUUGCCUUGAUGCAAAACAAAUCGGUGACAGGAACUAACCUAAACACAACUUGACAGUUCAGAGAUACAGAAACGCUAUGAUUACAACCACAGCUACUAUCAAGCACUUACCAUAUCUCCAAAGAAUAUUUCAUGAUGGUUUGGUUUGGACAACCACUGCAAGUAGAAAUCCAAAUUUUCUUCAGUAGGUGCGACCAAAUAGAAUACCUUUUCUCCCUGACGAUUCAUUUCACAAGAAAAAAAUUGGUAAAAAAACCGUUUGUUUUUCUCUAACGAAAACUAACUUACCUUUAAGACGUGAUACCAAACGGAUGAGCCUCCAAAGUCGAUGUGGAAAUCGGUAUAGGAAUCUUUUACUCCCAUAAGGCAAUAUUUUUGUACCUCUGGUCGUUCAAGGGCAUAAUCGCGGGGCCAAACGUUGUUUGCCCAGCAUAACUUGCGGGCAAUGUAGGGAGGCUCGACCAAGGCACUUAAACUUUAAAUUUUAAGUUUAGUUAUGCUUAAUUCGUACAAAAACCUGUAAUAAAACUUACUUAGAGUCAGAAAACUCAAGGCUUAUCACAUUUAAGACCUGUGAUCUUAAUGGAUUUGUAUAGUAUUCUACAAAGUCUUUAAGGGCCAUUCUUAUGUCUGAUUGCUUUGUUACAUCAAUAACAUCAAUUAUUCUAUCAGAACCUGUAUUCAUGAAGCAUUAGUGAAUAAAAAGACAUGAAUGUU
Long non-coding RNA from Daphnia magna, 2259 nucleotides. RefSeq lists it as uncharacterized. The record is from RefSeq and is a predicted model, not a curated record. NCBI's taxonomy places the organism in Eukaryota, Metazoa, Arthropoda, Branchiopoda, Diplostraca, Daphniidae. The transcript has 3 exons.